RNAcentral lists this ribosomal RNA (339 nucleotides) under Triticum aestivum (bread wheat). RNAcentral describes it as "partial small subunit ribosomal RNA". The record is from RNAcentral. Lineage: Eukaryota; Viridiplantae; Streptophyta; Magnoliopsida; Poales; Poaceae.
AUGCAGCAGAGCAGGGGCACUGGAUCUUGCCUCGGCGGCCGCAGGGGGAGGACUGAUGGGGCGGAUCUGGCGGCGCCGCGGGCGGACGCUCACCCGAAGCAGGAGCGCCGCAUCGCUUCUGAUUUUGACGUGGCCUGUAAGUUCAUUAGUAAUCUACACACUUCGUAUUACGCUGUAUUACAGUGUCACAACCAGCUUUGUGCUUGCAUUUCUUGGCAUCUUUUACUCUUACUAAUGGCACUUCUCCUUGAAGCUGCUUACACAAUAGAAUUCAUGCUCAUUAUAGCCUGGAUGUUAUGUUUUUGUUUAGCAUGUUGUCAGUUUCCAUAUAUGGAUUGA